RNAcentral lists this ribosomal RNA (503 nucleotides) under uncultured bacterium. Its description in RNAcentral is "partial 16S ribosomal RNA". It matches the Rfam family "Bacterial small subunit ribosomal RNA", at positions 899 to 1397 of the family's 1533-position model. The record is from RNAcentral.
ACUCAAAUGAAUUGACGGGGGCCCGCACAAGCGGUGGAGUAUGUGGUUUAAUUCGAAGCAACGCGAAGAACCUUACCAGCUUUUGACAUGGGAAGUAUAGGAAUCAGAGAUGAUUUCUUUCAGUUCGGCUGGCUUCCACACAGGUGCUGCAUGGCUGUCGUCAGCUCGUGUCGUGAGAUGUUGGGUUAAGUCCCGCAACGAGCGCAACCCUCACUGUUAAUUGCCAUCAGGUUGGGCUGGGCACUUUAACGGAACUGCCGGUGAUAAGCCGGAGGAAGGUGGGGAUGACGUCAAGUCCUCAUGGCCCUUAUAGGCUGGGCUACACACGUACUACAAUGGUGGUGACAGAGGGCAGCGAAGGAGUAAAUCUGGAGCGAAUCCCUAAAAGCCAUCUCAGUUCGGAUUGUCCUCUGCAACUCGAGGGCAUGAAGUCGGAAUCGCUAGUAAUCGCGGAUCAGCAUGCCGCGGUGAAUACGUUCACGGGCCUUGUACACACCGCCCGU